This 494-nucleotide long non-coding RNA is filed under the name Gorilla gorilla gorilla (western lowland gorilla). RNAcentral describes it as "lncRNA (ENSGGOG00000044361.1)". The record is from RNAcentral. Lineage: Eukaryota; Metazoa; Chordata; Mammalia; Primates; Hominidae.
CUGGGCUCCUGGAGCGAGGUGAGCGCCCCAGGCCGCGGUCCUGCGUACGCCGGGACAGCCAUGGCGACUGGGUCCUGCUCCUUCCCGGCCGGACUGACGCGGCCUCCCAGGACCCGAGCACGUCACUGACAGAAGACCGAAAAGCUCGUAGUAAAGGCCCCUCUAAAUUUAGAGAUAAAACUCAUCAGUGCUUUGAAACAAGCAGCUCUGAACCAAAGAAAUCAUUUGAUUCAAACUUUUCCAAACAAGAUGGCAACACCACUAGGCAAGAGAUGUCCCCAGCUGGUGUCCCAUUGCUGGUAAUGCAGCUCAACGAAGUGAAACCCAAAAAAGACCCCCAAAACAUUCAGCAGAACGAAGAUGCCACCCAAUACGAAGAGUCCAUUCUGACCAAACUCAUAGUGGAAAGGUGAUUUUAAUGGGGGUGCCAUCGGGUAUAACACUGCCAGUCAGGCGGUUUAUCUUAUUUUAUUUUGAGACAGCGUCUCACUCUG